RNAcentral lists this ribosomal RNA (329 nucleotides) under uncultured eukaryote. Its description in RNAcentral is "partial 18S ribosomal RNA". It matches the Rfam family "Eukaryotic small subunit ribosomal RNA", at positions 1470 to 1796 of the family's 1831-position model. The record is from RNAcentral.
CCCUUAGAUGUUCUGGGCCGCACGCGCGCUACACUGACGAAUGCAACGAGCUUAUAACCUUGGCCGAAAGGUCUGGGUAAUCUCCAAAUUUCGUCGUGAUGGGGAUAGAUUAUUGCAAUUAUUAAUCUUCAACGAGGAAUGCCUAGUAAGCGCAAGUCAUCAGCUUGCGUUGAUUACGUCCCUGCCCUUUGUACACACCGCCCGUCGCUCCUACCGAUUGAAUGGUCCGGUGAAAUGUUCGGAUCGCGGCAAAUCGGACGGGUAACCGUCAGGUUCGCUGCGAGAAGUUCAUUAAACCUUAUCAUUUAGAGGAAGGAGAAGUCGUANCA